This 499-nucleotide ribosomal RNA is filed under the name uncultured Alphaproteobacteria bacterium. Its description in RNAcentral is "bacterial SSU rRNA". It matches the Rfam family "Bacterial small subunit ribosomal RNA", at positions 38 to 561 of the family's 1533-position model. The record is from RNAcentral. Lineage: Bacteria; Pseudomonadati; Pseudomonadota; Alphaproteobacteria.
GGCGGCAUGCUUAACACAUGCAAGUCGAACGCGCCCUUGGGCUUCGGCCUGAGGGUGAGUGGCGCACGGGUGAGUAGCGCGUGGGAACCUGCCCUGGAGUGGGGGAUAACCGAGGGAAACUUCGGCUAAUACCGCAUGCGCCCCGGGAGAGAUCUCGGGGGAAAGAUUUAUCGCUCUAGGAGGGGCCCGCGUCGGAUUAGCUUGUUGGUGGGGUAACGGCCUACCAAGGCUCUGAUCCGUAGCUGGUCUGAGAGGAUGAUCAGCCACACUGGGACUGAGACACGGCCCAGACUCCUACGGGAGGCAGCAGUGGGGAAUAUUGGACAAUGGGCGCAAGCCUGAUCCAGCAAUGCCGCGUGAGUGAGGAAGGCCUUAGGGUUGUAAAGCUCUUUCGGCGGGGACGAUGAUGACGGUACCCGCAGAAGAAGCCCCGGCUAACUUCCUGCCAGCAGCCGCGGUAAUACGAAGGGGGCGAGCGUUGUUCGGAUUUACUGGGCGU